This is a non-coding RNA of Podarcis lilfordi (Lilford's wall lizard), 77 nucleotides long. Lineage: Eukaryota; Metazoa; Chordata; Lepidosauria; Squamata; Lacertidae. The record is from the annotation of a GenBank genome assembly.
GCUUCCUGGGAUCGCUCAGUUAGUGGAGCGUGAGGCUCUUAAGGUCAGGGAUGUGGGUUCGAGCCCCACGUUGGGCA